Molecule: ribosomal RNA, 677 nt
Filed under: uncultured bacterium
Lineage: Bacteria
Description: bacterial SSU rRNA
Rfam family: Bacterial small subunit ribosomal RNA
Source: RNAcentral
GGGUGAGUAACGUGUGGGCAACCUGCCUCAUACAGGGGGAUAACAGUUGGAAACGACUGCUAAUACCGCAUAAGCGCACAAUACCGCAUGGUACCGUGUGAAAAACUCCGGUGGUAUGAGAUGGACCCGCGUCUGAUUAGCUAGUUGGUGGGGCAACAGCCUACCAAGGCGACGAUCAGUAGCCGACCUGAGAGGGUGACCGGCCACAUUGGGACUGAGACACGGCCCAAACUCCUACGGGAGGCAGCAGUGGGGAAUAUUGCACAAUGGGGGAAACCCUGAUGCAGCGACGCCGCGUGAGCGAAGAAGUAUUUCGGUAUGUAAAGCUCUAUCAGCAGGGAAGAAAAAAUGACGGUACCUGACUAAGAAGCACCGGCUAAAUACGUGCCAGCAGCCGCGGUAAUACGUAUGGUGCAAGCGUUAUCCGGAUUUACUGGGUGUAAAGGGAGCGCAGGCGGUGCGGCAAGUCUGAUGUGAAAGCCCGGGGCUCAACCCCGGUAUUGCAUUGGAAACUGUCGUACUAGAGUGUCGGAGGGGUAAGUGGAAUUCCUAGUGUAGCGGUGAAAUGCGUAGAUAUUAGGAGGAACACCAGUGGCGAAGGCGGCUUACUGGACGAUAACUGACGCUGAGGCUCGAAAGCGUGGGGAGCAAACAGGAUUAGAUACCCUGGUAGUCCA